RNAcentral lists this long non-coding RNA (297 nucleotides) under Elaeis guineensis (African oil palm). RNAcentral describes it as "long non-coding RNA (EGUI_LNC082077)". Lineage: Eukaryota; Viridiplantae; Streptophyta; Magnoliopsida; Arecales; Arecaceae. The record is from RNAcentral.
CCCGAUCUUCUCAAGCCGAACUGAAGACGUCUUCGACUCGUACCUCAUCUUCGACCUCACCAACCUCCUCUUCGUCGUCCGACUCCAGGAGGCCGAGGUUGGGAUCAGAAAAAUGGUUCUUGACCUUCUCCUUGAAAUCCUCAACCCCUUACACAUAAGAAAGCGAGAUGAACUCUGACUUGAUCUGUGAAACUCAAUCGAAGACUUGAAAGCUUGGACCGAGGCGAUCUUGGCAGCCUCCAGCUCCCCCUCAUGCUUCUUCUUCUCGGUUGAUAGCCGAGCUUCAGUUUUCAUCCG